RNAcentral lists this unclassified non-coding RNA (251 nucleotides) under uncultured fungus. Its description in RNAcentral is "sequence contains ITS2". Lineage: Eukaryota; Fungi. The record is from RNAcentral.
AACGCACAUUGCGCCCUUUGGUAUUCCGAGGGGCAUGUCUGUUCGAGCGUCAUUUCAACCCUCAAGCUUAGGCUUGGUAUUGGGCGCCAUCCGCCUAAGGAUGUGCCUAAAACUCGUAGGCGGUUGUGCUCAGCUCCUUAGCGUAGUCAUUAUCAUUUCGCUCCGGACGCUUUGGGCGCGACCCGCCUGAGAACCCCCCAUAUUUCUCAAGGUUUGACCUCGGAUCAGAUAGGGAUACCCGCUGAACUUAA